GACGAACGCUGGCGGCGUGCUUAACACAUGCAAGUCGAACGGAAGGGCCCUGCUUUUGUGGGGUGCUCGAGUGGCGAACGGGUGAGUAACACGUGAGUAACCUGCCCUUGACUUUGGGAUAACUUCAGGAAACUGGGGCUAAUACCGGAUAGGAGCUCCUGCUGCAUGGUGGGGGUUGGAAAGUUUCGGCGGUUGGGGAUGGACUCGCGGCUUAUCAGCUUGUUGGUGGGGUAGUGGCUUACCAAGGCUUUGACGGGUAGCCGGCCUGAGAGGGUGACCGGCCACAUUGGGACUGAGAUACGGCCCAGACUCCUACGGGAGGCAGCAGUGGGGAAUAUUGCACAAUGGGCGGAAGCCUGAUGCAGCAACGCCGCGUGCGGGAUGAAGGCCUUCGGGUUGUAAACCGCUUUCGCCUGUGACGAAGCGUGAGUGACGGUAAUGGGUAAAGAAGCACCGGCUAACUACGUG
This 468-nucleotide ribosomal RNA is filed under the name uncultured bacterium. RNAcentral describes it as "partial 16S ribosomal RNA". It matches the Rfam family "Bacterial small subunit ribosomal RNA", at positions 28 to 507 of the family's 1533-position model. The record is from RNAcentral.